This 489-nucleotide ribosomal RNA is filed under the name uncultured bacterium. Its description in RNAcentral is "bacterial SSU rRNA". It matches the Rfam family "Bacterial small subunit ribosomal RNA", at positions 30 to 510 of the family's 1533-position model. The record is from RNAcentral.
AUUGAACGCUGGCGGCAUGCCUUACACAUGCAAGUCGAACGGCAGCACGGGAGCAAUCCUGGUGGCGAGUGGCGAACGGGUGAGUAAUGUAUCGGAACGUGCCUUGUCGUGGGGGAUAACGUAGCGAAAGCUACGCUAAUACCGCAUACCAUCUAGGGAUGAAAGCGGGGGGUCGCAAGACCUCGCGCGACAAGAGUGGCCGAUAUCAGAUUAGGUUGUUGGUGGGGUAAAGGCCUACCAAGCCGACGAUCUGUAGCUGGUCUGAGAGGACGACCAGCCACACUGGGACUGAGACACGGCCCAGACUCCUACGGGAGGCAGCAGUGGGGAAUUUUGGACAAUGGGCGAAAGCCUGAUCCAGCAAUGCCGCGUGCAGGAUGAAGGCCUUCGGGUUGUAAACUAGCUUUGUUACAGAACGAAACAAGUCUCUCCUAAUACGGGGGCGAAUGACGGUACUGUAAGAAUAAGCACCGGCUAACUACGUAGCCA